Molecule: ribosomal RNA, 270 nt
Filed under: uncultured Clostridium sp.
Lineage: Bacteria; Bacillati; Bacillota; Clostridia; Eubacteriales; Clostridiaceae
Description: partial 16S ribosomal RNA
Rfam family: Bacterial small subunit ribosomal RNA
Source: RNAcentral
AAGCUUUCUUCGGAAAGUGGAUUAGCGGCGGACGGGUGAGUAACACGUGGGUAACCUGCCUCAUAGAGGGGAAUAGCCUUUCGAAAGGAAGAUUAAUACCGCAUAAGAUUGUAAUAUCGCAUGGUAUAGCAAUUAAAGGAGCAAUCCGCUAUGAGAUGGACCCGCGUCGCAUUAGCUAGUUGGUGAGGUAACGGCUCACCAAGGCGACGAUGCGUAGCCGACCUGAGAGGGUGAUCGGCCACAUUGGGACUGAGACACGGCCCAAACUCC